RNAcentral lists this ribosomal RNA (650 nucleotides) under Serratia nevei. RNAcentral describes it as "partial 23S ribosomal RNA". It matches the Rfam family "Bacterial large subunit ribosomal RNA", at positions 1102 to 1750 of the family's 2925-position model. The record is from RNAcentral. Lineage: Bacteria; Pseudomonadati; Pseudomonadota; Gammaproteobacteria; Enterobacterales; Yersiniaceae.
UGGCUUAGAAGCAGCCAUCAUUUAAAGAAAGCGUAAUAGCUCACUGGUCGAGUCGGCCUGCGCGGAAGAUGUAACGGGGCUAAACCAUGCACCGAAGCUGCGGCAGCGACGCUUAGGCGUUGUUGGGUAGGGGAGCGUUCUGUAAGCCGUUGAAGGUGGCCUGUGAGGGUUGCUGGAGGUAUCAGAAGUGCGAAUGCUGACAUAAGUAACGAUAAAGCGGGUGAAAAGCCCGCUCGCCGGAAGACCAAGGGUUCCUGUCCAACGUUAAUCGGGGCAGGGUGAGUCGACCCCUAAGGCGAGGCUGAAAAGCGUAGUCGAUGGGAAACAGGUUAAUAUUCCUGUACUUGGUGUUACUGCGAAGGGGGGACGGAGAAGGCUAGGCUAGCCGGGCGACGGUUGUCCCGGUUUAAGCGUGUAGGGGGUGUGACCUGGUAAAUCCGGUUACAUAUCAACCCUGAGGCGUGAUGACGAUGCACUACGGUGCAGAAGUAGUUGAUGCCCUGCUUCCAGGAAAAGCCUCUAAGCUCUAGGUAACAUUGAAUCGUACCCCAAACCGACACAGGUGGUCAGGUAGAGAAUACCAAGGCGCUUGAGAGAACUCGGGUGAAGGAACUAGGCAAAAUGGUGCCGUAACUUCGGGAGAAGGCACG